GGAUGCGAUCAUACCAGCACUAAAGCACCGGAUCCCAUCAGAACUCCGAAGUUAAGCGUGCUUGGGUGAGAGUAGUACUAGGAUGGGUUACCUCCUGGGAAGUCCUCCUGUUGCAUUCC
This 119-nucleotide ribosomal RNA is filed under the name Triticum aestivum (bread wheat). The record is from RNAcentral. RNAcentral also lists the same sequence under 1 other name. Lineage: Eukaryota; Viridiplantae; Streptophyta; Magnoliopsida; Poales; Poaceae.